This 226-nucleotide long non-coding RNA is filed under the name Mytilus galloprovincialis (Mediterranean mussel). Lineage: Eukaryota; Metazoa; Mollusca; Bivalvia; Mytilida; Mytilidae. The record is from RNAcentral.
UUUAAUGUGUGUAUUGUUAUGCGUUUACUUUUCUACAUUGGUUAGAGGUAUAGGGGGAGGGUUGAAAUCUCACAAACAUGUUUAACCCCGCCGCAUUUUUGCGCCUGUCCCAAGUCAGGAGCCUCUGGCCUUUGUUAGUCUUGUAUUAUUUUAAUUUUAGUUUCUUGUGUACAAUUUGGAAAUUAGUAUGGCGUUCAUUAUCACUGGACUAGUAUAUAUUUGUUUA